Molecule: ribosomal RNA, 426 nt
Filed under: uncultured Dysgonomonas sp.
Lineage: Bacteria; Pseudomonadati; Bacteroidota; Bacteroidia; Bacteroidales; Dysgonomonadaceae
Description: bacterial SSU rRNA
Rfam family: Bacterial small subunit ribosomal RNA
Source: RNAcentral
GGGGAAUUUUGGACAAUGGGCGCAAGCCUGAUCCAGCAAUGCCGCGUGCAGGAUGAAGGCCUUCGGGUUGUAAACUGCUUUUGUACGGAACGAAAAGCCUCUCUCUAAUACAGGGGGGUGAUGACGGUACCGUAAGAAUAAGCACCGGCUAACUACGUGCCAGCAGCCGCGGUAAUACGGAGGAUGCGAGCGUUAUCCGGAUUUAUUGGGUUUAAAGGGUGCGCAGGCGGGCUUUUAAGUCAGCGGUGAAAUCUGGACGCUUAACGUCCAAACUGCCGUUGAAACUGGGAGUCUUGAGUAUGGAUGAAGUAGGCGGAAUUCGUUGUGUAGCGGUGACAUGCAUAGAUAUAACGAGGAACUCCGAUUGCGUAGGCAGCUUACUAAGCCAUAACUGACGCUCAUGCACGAAAGCGUGGGGAUCAAACA